CGAACGCUGGCGGCAGGCUUAACACAUGCAAGUCGAACGGGUGCAGCAAUGCAUCAGUGGCAGACGGGUGAGUAACACGUGGGAACCUUCCUAGGGGUACGGAACAACUCAGGGAAACUUGAGCUAAUACCGUAUACGUCCGUGAGGAGAAAGAUUUAUCGCCCUUAGACGGGCCCGCGUCGGAUUAGCUAGUUGGUGGGGUAACGGCCUACCAAGGCGACGAUCCGUAGCUGAUCUUAGAGGAUGAUCAGCCACACUGGGACUGAGACACGGCCCAGACUCCUACGGGAGGCAGCAGUGGGGAAUCUUGGACAAUGGGCGCAAGCCUGAUCCAGCCAUGCCGCGUGAGUGAAGAAGGUCUUCGGAUUGUAAAGCUCUUUUGCCAGGGACGAUAAUGACGGUACCUGGAGAAUAAGCCCCGGCAAACUUCGCGCCAGCAG
RNAcentral lists this ribosomal RNA (440 nucleotides) under uncultured bacterium. Its description in RNAcentral is "bacterial SSU rRNA". It matches the Rfam family "Bacterial small subunit ribosomal RNA", at positions 30 to 514 of the family's 1533-position model. The record is from RNAcentral.